GGAGUUGUGGCUCAGUGGUAGAGUGCUUGCCUGGUAUGUGUGAGGCCCUGGGUUCAAUUUUCAGCAGCACAU
Molecule: non-coding RNA, 72 nt
Organism: Ictidomys tridecemlineatus (thirteen-lined ground squirrel)
Lineage: Eukaryota; Metazoa; Chordata; Mammalia; Rodentia; Sciuridae
Source: Rfam